This 1507-nucleotide ribosomal RNA is filed under the name Helicobacter pylori J166. RNAcentral describes it as "bacterial SSU rRNA". It matches the Rfam family "Bacterial small subunit ribosomal RNA". The record is from RNAcentral. Lineage: Bacteria; Pseudomonadati; Campylobacterota; Epsilonproteobacteria; Campylobacterales; Helicobacteraceae.
UUUAUGGAGAGUUUGAUCCUGGCUCAGAGUGAACGCUGGCGGCGUGCCUAAUACAUGCAAGUCGAACGAUGAAGCUUCUAGCUUGCUAGAGUGCUGAUUAGUGGCGCACGGGUGAGUAACGCAUAGGUCAUGUGCCUCUUAGUUUGGGAUAGCCAUUGGAAACGAUGAUUAAUACCAGAUACUCCCUACGGGGGAAAGAUUUAUCGCUAAGAGAUCAGCCUAUGUCCUAUCAGCUUGUUGGUAAGGUAAUGGCUUACCAAGGCUAUGACGGGUAUCCGGCCUGAGAGGGUGAACGGACACACUGGAACUGAGACACGGUCCAGACUCCUACGGGAGGCAGCAGUAGGGAAUAUUGCUCAAUGGGGGAAACCCUGAAGCAGCAACGCCGCGUGGAGGAUGAAGGUUUUAGGAUUGUAAACUCCUUUUGUUAGAGAAGAUAAUGACGGUAUCUAACGAAUAAGCACCGGCUAACUCCGUGCCAGCAGCCGCGGUAAUACGGAGGGUGCAAGCGUUACUCGGAAUCACUGGGCGUAAAGAGCGCGUAGGCGGGAUAGUCAGUCAGGUGUGAAAUCCUAUGGCUUAACCAUAGAACUGCAUUUGAAACUACUAUUCUAGAGUGUGGGAGAGGUAGGUGGAAUUCUUGGUGUAGGGGUAAAAUCCGUAGAGAUCAAGAGGAAUACUCAUUGCGAAGGCGACCUGCUGGAACAUUACUGACGCUGAUUGCGCGAAAGCGUGGGGAGCAAACAGGAUUAGAUACCCUGGUAGUCCACGCCCUAAACGAUGGAUGCUAGUUGUUGGAGGGCUUAGUCUCUCCAGUAAUGCAGCUAACGCAUUAAGCAUCCCGCCUGGGGAGUACGGUCGCAAGAUUAAAACUCAAAGGAAUAGACGGGGACCCGCACAAGCGGUGGAGCAUGUGGUUUAAUUCGAAGAUACACGAAGAACCUUACCUAGGCUUGACAUUGAGAGAAUCCGCUAGAAAUAGUGGAGUGUCUGGCUUGCCAGACCUUGAAAACAGGUGCUGCACGGCUGUCGUCAGCUCGUGUCGUGAGAUGUUGGGUUAAGUCCCGCAACGAGCGCAACCCCCUUUCUUAGUUGCUAACAGGUUAUGCUGAGAACUCUAAGGAUACUGCCUCCGUAAGGAGGAGGAAGGUGGGGACGACGUCAAGUCAUCAUGGCCCUUACGCCUAGGGCUACACACGUGCUACAAUGGGGUGUACAAAGAGAAGCAAUACUGCGAAGUGGAGCCAAUCUUCAAAACAUCUCUCAGUUCGGAUUGUAGGCUGCAACUCGCCUGCAUGAAGCUGGAAUCGCUAGUAAUCGCAAAUCAGCCAUGUUGCGGUGAAUACGUUCCCGGGUCUUGUACUCACCGCCCGUCACACCAUGGGAGUUGUGUUUGCCUUAAGUCAGGAUGCUAAAUUAGCUACUGCCCACGGCACACACAGCGACUGGGGUGAAGUCGUAACAAGGUAACCGUAGGUGAACCUGCGGUUGGAUCACCUCCUUUCUA